This 253-nucleotide ribosomal RNA is filed under the name uncultured bacterium. RNAcentral's name for it is "partial 16S ribosomal RNA". It matches the Rfam family "Bacterial small subunit ribosomal RNA", at positions 524 to 776 of the family's 1533-position model. The record is from RNAcentral.
UACGUAGGGUGCAAGCGUUGUCCGGAAUUAUUGGGCGUAAAGAGCUCGUAGGCGGUUCGUCGCGUCGGAUGUGAAAAUCCGGGGCUCAACCCCGGACUUGCAGUGGGUACGGGCAGACUAGAGUGUGGUAGGGGAGACUGGAAUUCCUGGUGUAGCGGUGAAAUGCGCAGAUAUCAGGAGGAACACCGAUGGCGAAGGCAGGUCUCUGGGCCACUACUGACGCUGAGAAGCGAAAGCAUGGGGAGCGAACAGG